Molecule: ribosomal RNA, 253 nt
Filed under: uncultured bacterium
Lineage: Bacteria
Description: partial 16S ribosomal RNA
Rfam family: Bacterial small subunit ribosomal RNA
Source: RNAcentral
CACGGGGGGAGCAAGCGUUGUUCGGAAUCACUGGGCGUAAAGGGUGUGUAGGCGGUCCGGUAAGUCGGUUGUGAAAACCCGGGGCUUAACCCCGGGCCUGCAUUCGAUACGGGCAGACUCGAGUGUGGUAGGGGAGACUGGAACUCCUGGUGUAGCGGUGAAAUGCGCAGAUAUCAGGAAGAACACCGGUGGCGAAGGCGGGUCUCUGGGCCACUACUGACGCUGAGGAGCGAAAGCGUGGGGAGCGAACAGG